GCUGGGCCGUUACUGACGCUGAGACACGAAAGCGUGGGGAGCAAAUAGGAUUAGAUACCCUAGUAGUCCACGCCGUAAACGAUGAAUACUAAGUAUCGGGGUUUCUCGGUGCUGAAGUUAGCACAUUAAGUAUUCCACCUGAGUAGUACGGUCGCAAGGCUGAAACUUAAAGGAAUUGACGGGCACCCGCACAAGCGGUGGAGCAUGCUGUUUAAUUCGAAGAUACGCGAAGAACCUUACCUAGACUUGACAUCCCGUUGACCGCUCUAGAAAUAGAGUUUUCCCUUCGGGGACAAUGGUGACAGGUGGUGCAUGGUUGUCGUCAGCUCGUGUCGUGAGAUGUUUGGUUAAGUCCAAUAACGAGCGUAACCCUUAUCUUUAAUUGCUAACAUUUAGUUGAGAACCUUAAAGAGACUGCCGGUGAUAAACCGGAGGAAGGUGGGGAUGACGUCAAAUCAUCAUGCCCCUUACGUCUAGGGCUACAGGCGUGCUACAAUGGCCGAUACAAAAAGACGCAAAGUCGCGAGACCUAGCAAAUCUUUAAAGUCGGUCCCAGUCCGGAUUGGAGUCUGCAACUCGACUCCAUGAAGUUGGAAUCGC
RNAcentral lists this ribosomal RNA (600 nucleotides) under uncultured bacterium. RNAcentral's name for it is "bacterial SSU rRNA". It matches the Rfam family "Bacterial small subunit ribosomal RNA", at positions 728 to 1335 of the family's 1533-position model. The record is from RNAcentral.